UUCUUAAAACGGCUUUACAAUUUAUUAUAUUAAUAAAAGAACGCGUCUGUAUUAUUAUCGUUUCCUGUUUGUGUCCGUGCGCGAUCCACAGCCGAGUCUAUCGCACGUAGAGAUUGUGGAACAUUUGCAUAUCAUUGAGAUAUUCAGGACGUAGUUACGCGCGGUUCACCUCGGAGUCGGAUUUCCGAAAUGAAACCCCUAAAAUGCGACUAAUUUUUGGUACGUAUAUUUAAUUUUAGUUUUGUUGAUUUGUUGAUCAUCUUGGCGACAUGGAUGACAUGAAAAAAAAACUCCGUACAUAGUUAGAAAUCUGUAGAUGGUUUAGCGUUUUACU
This is a non-coding RNA of Cinara cedri, 334 nucleotides long. The record is from the annotation of a GenBank genome assembly. Lineage: Eukaryota; Metazoa; Arthropoda; Insecta; Hemiptera; Aphididae.